CCUACGGGCGGCUGCAGUGGGGAAUAUUGCACAAUGGGCGCAAGCCUGAUGCAGCCAUGCCGCGUGUGUGAAGAAGGCCUUCGGGUUGUAAAGCACUUUCAGCGGGGAGGAAGGCGUUAAGGUUAAUAACCUUGUCGAUUGACGUUACCCGCAGAAGAAGCACCGGCUAACUCCGUGCCAGCAGCCGCGGUAAUACGGAGGGUGCAAGCGUUAAUCGGAAUUACUGGGCGUAAAGCGCACGCAGGCGGUCUGUCAAGUCGGAUGUGAAAUCCCCGGGCUCAACCUGGGAACUGCAUUCGAAACUGGCUGGCUAGAGUCUUGUAGAGGGGGGUAGAAUUCCAGGUGUAGCGGUGAAAUGCGUAGAGAUCUGGAGGAAUACCGGUGGCGAAGGCGGCCCCCUGGACAAAGACUGACGCUCAGGCGCGAAAGCGUGGGGAGCAAACAGGAUUAGAUACCCGGGUAGUC
Molecule: ribosomal RNA, 465 nt
Filed under: uncultured Klebsiella sp.
Lineage: Bacteria; Pseudomonadati; Pseudomonadota; Gammaproteobacteria; Enterobacterales; Enterobacteriaceae
Description: bacterial SSU rRNA
Rfam family: Bacterial small subunit ribosomal RNA
Source: RNAcentral